GUUUAUAAGGCAAUUAAUACAGCGAAACUGCGAAUGGCUCAUUAAAUCAGUUAUCGUUUAUUUGAUAGUACCUUACUACAUGGAUAACCGUGGUAAUUCUAGAGCUAAUACAUGCUAAAAACCCCGACUUCGGAAGGGGUGUAUUUAUUAGAUUAAAAACCAAUGCCCUUCGGGGCUCACUGGUGAUUCAUGAUAACUUCUCGAAUCGCACGGCCUUGCGCCGGCGAUGGUUCAUUCAAAUUUCUGCCCUAUCAACUUUCGACGGCUGGGUCUUGGCCAGCCGUGGUGACAACGGGUAACGGAGGGUUAGGGCUCGACCCCGGAGAAAACGCCUGAGAAACGGCGUUUACAUCCAAGGAAGGCAGCAGGCGCGCAAAUUACCCAAUGCCGACACGGCGAGGUAGUGACGAGAAAUACUGAUACAGGGCUCUUUUGGGUCUUGUAAUUGGAAUGAGUACAAUUUAAAUCUCUUAACGAGGAACAAUUGGAGGGCAAGUCUGGUGCCAGCAGCCGCGGUAAUUCCAGCUCCAAUAGCGUAUAUUAAAGUUGUUGCAGUUAAAAAGCUCGUAGUUGAACCUUGGGCCUGGCUGGCCGGUCCGCCUCACCGCGUGCACUGGUCCGGCCGGGCCUUUCCCUCUGGGGAACCGCAUGUCCUUCACUGGGCGUGUCGGGGAACCAGGACUUUUACUUUGAAAAAAUUAGAGUGUUCAAAGCAGCCUAUGCUCGAAUACAUUAGCAUGGAAUAAUAGAAUAGGACGUGUGGUUCUAUUUUGUUGGUUUCUAGGACCGCCGUAAUGAUUAAUAGGGACAGUCGGGGGCAUCAGUAUUCAAUUUGUCAGAGGUGAAAUUCUUGGAUUUAAUUGAAGACUAACUACUGCGAAAGCAUUUUGCCAAGGAUG
This 899-nucleotide ribosomal RNA is filed under the name Neopyricularia commelinicola. RNAcentral describes it as "SSU rRNA". It matches the Rfam family "Eukaryotic small subunit ribosomal RNA", at positions 63 to 966 of the family's 1831-position model. Lineage: Eukaryota; Fungi; Ascomycota; Sordariomycetes; Magnaporthales; Pyriculariaceae. The record is from RNAcentral.